GACGAACGCUGGCGGCGUGCUUAACACAUGCAAGUCGAACGGUAAGGCCCUUCGGGGUACACGAGUGGCGAACGGGUGAGUAACACGUGGGUGAUCUGCCCUGCACUUCGGGAUAAGCCUGGGAAACUGGGUCUAAUACCGGAUAGGACUCCUGCCUGCAUGGGUGGGGGUGGAAAGCUUUUGUGGUGUGGGAUGGGCCCGCGGCCUAUCAGCUUGUUGGUGGGGUGAUGGCCUACCAAGGCGACGACGGGUAGCCGGCCUGGGAGGGUGACCGGCCACACUGGGACUGAGAUACGGCCCAGACUCCUACGGGAGGUAGCAGUGGGGAAUAUUGCACAAUGGGCGCAAGCCUGAUGCAGCGACGCCGCGUGAGGGAUGACGGCCUUCGGGUUGUAAACCUCUUUCAGCACAGACGAAGCGCAAGUGACGGUAUGUGCAGAAGAAGGACCGGCCAACUACGUGCCAGCAGCCGCCGUAA
Molecule: ribosomal RNA, 478 nt
Filed under: uncultured bacterium
Lineage: Bacteria
Description: partial 16S ribosomal RNA
Rfam family: Bacterial small subunit ribosomal RNA
Source: RNAcentral